This is a small nucleolar RNA of Hibiscus syriacus, 214 nucleotides long. RefSeq annotates it as small nucleolar RNA U3. The record is from RefSeq and is a predicted model, not a curated record. Lineage: Eukaryota; Viridiplantae; Streptophyta; Magnoliopsida; Malvales; Malvaceae. The transcript has a single exon.
ACGACCUUACUUGAAUAGGAUCUCUUCUAUAGGCUCGUACCUUUGUAUCCUUGAGUUCUAAGGAGACAGGAUUCCAAGUCUGGUUGAUGAACUGAGGCUGUGUGAUCAGAGCGUGAUUACUGGUCUGGGUUACUAAGUGUCGGCAAUCCUUGACCGCGGUUGUUCCCAUUUCGUCUUGUCUUGCUGGGAUUGUCACGCAGCUGUCUGACAGGCU